This 274-nucleotide ribosomal RNA is filed under the name uncultured bacterium. Its description in RNAcentral is "partial 16S ribosomal RNA". It matches the Rfam family "Bacterial small subunit ribosomal RNA", at positions 523 to 796 of the family's 1533-position model. The record is from RNAcentral.
AUACGGAGGGUGCGAGCGUUAAUCGGAAUUACUGGGCGUAAAGCGCGCGUAGGCGGCUAAGUAAGUCGGAUGUGAAAGCCCUGGGCUCAACCUGGGAAUUGCACUCGAUACUGCUUGGCUAGAGUAUGGUAGAGGGUAGUGGAAUUCCUGGUGUAGCGGUGAAAUGCGUAGAUAUCAGGAGGAACAUCAGUGGCGAAGGCGGCUACCUGGACCAAUACUGACGCUAAGGUGCGAAAGCGUGGGGAGCAAACAGGAUUAGAAACCCCGGUAGUCC